RNAcentral lists this ribosomal RNA (422 nucleotides) under uncultured archaeon. RNAcentral describes it as "partial 16S ribosomal RNA". It matches the Rfam family "Archaeal small subunit ribosomal RNA", at positions 323 to 746 of the family's 1478-position model. The record is from RNAcentral.
CUACGGGCGGCUGCAGUCGCGAAAACUCCGCAAUGCGCGAAAGCGUGACGGGGGGAUUCUGAGUGCUUCGGUUUUUCCGAGGCUUUUCGUGAGAGUAAACAUCUCGCGGAAUAAGUGGUGGGCAAGACUGGUGCCAGCCGCCGCGGUAACCCCAGCGCCACAAGUGGGAACCACGUUUAUUGGGUCUAAAGCAUCCGUAGCCGGCUUGUUAAAUGCCCUGUGAAAUCGUUCCGCCCAACGGGACGGCGUGCAGGGUAGACUGGCAAGCUUGGAACCAGGAAAGGUAUGCGGUAUUCAGUGGGGAGCGGUAAAAUGCUAUAAUCCACUGAGGACCACCGAUGGCGAAGGCAGCAUACUUGAAUGGAUUCGACGGUGAGGGAUGAAAGCCAGGGGAGCGAUCCGGAUUAGAUACCCUGGUAGUC